UACGUAGGGGGCGAGCGUUGUCCGGAUUUAUUGGGCGUAAAGAGCUCGUAGGCGGCUUAGCAAGUCGGGUGUGAAAACUCCAGGCUCAACCUGGAGACGCCACUCGAGACUGCUAUGGCUAGAGUCCGGUAGGGGACCACGGAAUUCCUGGUGUAGCGGUGAAAUGCGUAGAUAUCAGGAGGAACACCGGUGGCGAAGGCGGCUAUCUGGACAGAGUCUGACGCUGAGGCGCGAAAGCUAGGGGAGCAAACAGG
This 254-nucleotide ribosomal RNA is filed under the name uncultured bacterium. Its description in RNAcentral is "partial 16S ribosomal RNA". It matches the Rfam family "Bacterial small subunit ribosomal RNA", at positions 524 to 776 of the family's 1533-position model. The record is from RNAcentral.